This 201-nucleotide ribosomal RNA is filed under the name uncultured bacterium. Its description in RNAcentral is "partial 16S ribosomal RNA". It matches the Rfam family "Bacterial small subunit ribosomal RNA", at positions 524 to 724 of the family's 1533-position model. The record is from RNAcentral.
UACGUAGGGUGCGAGCGUUAAUCGGAAUUACUGGGCGUAAAGCGUGCGCAGGCGGCUUUGUAAGACAGAUGUGAAAUCCCCGGGCUCAACCGGGGAACUGCAAUUGUUACUGCAAGGCUAGAGUACGGCUGAGGGGGAUGGAAUUCCGCGUGUAGCAGUGAAAUGCGUAGAUAUGCGGAGGAACACCAAUGGCGAAGGCAA